AAAUUCCUGUUGCUGCAAAAAAAUCAGGUCAAGAUGAGAGGUUUUUAUUGAUUUUUCUCUCCUUAAUCCUUCUCUUCCUCCCUGCAAAGUAUGAAGGCUAGCUUGGAUCUACCAGAUUUCAAGAAAGAGCUGACUUGUUCUAUCCAUUCGCAUCAUUUGAUCAAACCACUUGUAAUUGCAGGUGCACGCAGGCCUUGCUGUGAGUGCCUCUAGGGAGAUGGAAAGGAACAUCUGGUUAUGGCUCCAAGGUUUGCUGUGCAGUAGGGGAUGAUGGCUGAGAUGGCAAAGCAUCUGAGAUGUCAUGUAAUGGAUUUCAAGAAUAGCAUAUGUGAGAUGCACCCAAAAAGCCUGAAGGCUUGUGUUGACAGAGUUGAUGCUCCUGUGUGAGACUCGUGUUCUGUCUCAGCAACACAAGUCUCUCUCAAAAUUCAUCACUGGGAAGGCAAAAGUCAUCUUCAAGCUCUAGCAUAGCAACCUCCAAGAGAGGAUAAUCGUUAUCCUUUUCAGAAUGAGGCCCAAGAAAUCCGGAAUUCUCUACACAAGGCAAUGGUCUCACAAGCGGACAACUGCCUCGGCAGAGAAAAAUGAACAGGCACCAUUCCAAGAUGAAGAACGUCCCCAAGGUGGUUUUGAGAAGGCCUGAGCAUGCAGCAAGAUGGUAAGAAUGGAUGAGAGAAUUUUCAGGCGAAGUCAGCAGUGGCGCAGGCGAGCUGGCCUGGAUUCACGGCUGUUCUAUCACUGUACUGCACCUCCAAGCUUGGAGCAGUCAAGGGAAAAGACCAAGGCUUACCCAUACAGGAUUAAAAUCAAAUGAAACUGUCCAUGGGACACAGGACUUAGAUAGAAAUAGCGGUUUCCUUCUAUCCUCUCUCUUUUCAGGAACUAUCAGUUUCAAGAAAAUGCUUUUGGUUCGCAGGUUUUAUGUUGCAGCUCUUCAUUAUUAAAGCCACAUAGUCUA
This is a long non-coding RNA of Homo sapiens (human), 958 nucleotides long. RefSeq lists it as uncharacterized. The record is from RefSeq and is a predicted model, not a curated record. The transcript is spliced from 3 exons. NCBI's taxonomy places the organism in Eukaryota, Metazoa, Chordata, Mammalia, Primates, Hominidae.